GUUUCACCAUGUUAGCCAGGAUGGUCUCGAUCUCCUGACCUUGUGUUCCGCCCAUCUCGGCCUCCCAAAGUGCUGGGAUUACAGGCAUAAGCCACCACACCCAGCCAAUAGAACUCUUUUUACUUAAAAAUCUCAGGAUUUUUGGGAUCUGAGCUCUUGUCAAAAUUCACUCAAAUUUCACCUUUUCCAGGACAUGAUCUGCUUAUUUAGUCUUUUCUCUCCCUUCUAAAAUGUAUACCCCAUAAGGGCAGAGAUUUUUGUUCUCACUGCUCUCCAGCAUCUGGAACACUGCUUGGCAGAUACUUGAUGCCAAAAAAUAUAUAUAUUUUUUAAUUAAUUAGUGAACAACACAAUUACCAAGCACUUAACUACGAACCAACAGUUCUACUUCACAAUUCACAAAUGAUUCAGUUCUUAAUUAUUAUUUCUGUAAUUUAUGAUGUAUGAAUUUUUUAAGUGUUAUUAAAUACUAGUUGAUAAGCUGGAUAUCACAUUAAUCUUGUAGUUUUUCUUCUCACAGUAUGGCAGAGGGUCCUAUUCUCAAAGGUGCUAUUGGCCUGUACUCCCAGCAUAGAUCCUCCCUGCAUCUUUCUAGUGGGCUCUGUGGGGCUUAGUAAUUUUCUCCCGUAGACAGGCUAUAUUGAGACUUGCCUUGUGACUCUCAACAGCUAAACAAAAGUAAAAGAACUUUAGGAAAUCUUGAGUUCAGAUUUUUUAUAAGAUCUUCACUUCUAGUCUGUUCCCAUUUGGUAAUAUUAUGGUUGAACUGAAUUUCUCCAUUGCCCUUGACUCUAAAGUUCUGGACUUUCUGCUCUUGUUUUCCUCCAUUAUGGAAAAAUGACAAAUCAUUCUGAAAAGUCUAUAUGUUUCAGGUCACUGCUUUGUACCCAGAAAAAAAUACAGGAUAGGUAAGAUGAAGGCUCACAGUCUCAAAUCCUCACAAAGGGCAUGGUAAAUUAAUGAAGGAGUCGGCGUAGCAAAUGUAAGAAUUAUAUUUUUUAUUUGUAUUGUACUGUGGUAUAAGCAUGUAACAUAACUAUAUUGGAGAUUUAAUUUUCUGAUGUAAAAUUCAAAUAUCCAAUUAAAAAUAGGUAUUUUGAUUAUAUUUUUCUUCUAUAAAUAUUUUUGCCUUGAACCAGAGAAAUGUGACAGUUUCUCCUGCCCUAUUUGGGAUCAAUAUUUUAUUCAAAUAAAUAAAAAAGUUUUUCACAGAUACAGUUU
Molecule: long non-coding RNA, 1221 nt
Filed under: Homo sapiens (human)
Lineage: Eukaryota; Metazoa; Chordata; Mammalia; Primates; Hominidae
Description: HSALNT0326835
Source: RNAcentral